RNAcentral lists this ribosomal RNA (475 nucleotides) under Streptococcus infantis. RNAcentral's name for it is "bacterial SSU rRNA". It matches the Rfam family "Bacterial small subunit ribosomal RNA", at positions 28 to 488 of the family's 1533-position model. The record is from RNAcentral. Lineage: Bacteria; Bacillati; Bacillota; Bacilli; Lactobacillales; Streptococcaceae.
GACGAACGCUGGCGGCGUGCCUAAUACAUGCAAGUAGAACGCUGAAGGAGGAGCUUGCUUCUCUGGAUGAGUUGCGAACGGGUGAGUAACGCGUAGGUAACCUGCCUGGUAGCGGGGGAUAACUAUUGGAAACGAUAGCUAAUACCGCAUAACAGUAGAUAUCGCAUGAUAGCUGCUUGAAAGGUGCAAUUGCACCACUACCAGAUGGACCUGCGUUGUAUUAGCUAGUUGGUGAGGUAACGGCUCACCAAGGCAACGAUACAUAGCCGACCUGAGAGGGUGAUCGGCCACACUGGGACUGAGACACGGCCCAGACUCCUACGGGAGGCAGCAGUAGGGAAUCUUCGGCAAUGGACGGAAGUCUGACCGAGCAACGCCGCGUGAGUGAAGAAGGUUUUCGGAUCGUAAAGCUCUGUUGUAAGAGAAGAACGAGUGUGAGAGUGGAAAGUUCACACUGUGACGGUAUCUACCAGAA